RNAcentral lists this ribosomal RNA (497 nucleotides) under uncultured bacterium. RNAcentral describes it as "partial 16S ribosomal RNA". It matches the Rfam family "Bacterial small subunit ribosomal RNA", at positions 28 to 507 of the family's 1533-position model. The record is from RNAcentral.
GAUGAACGCUGGCGGCGUGCCUAAUACAUGCAAGUCGAGCGAACAGACGAGGAGCUUGCUCCUUUGACGUUAGCGGCGGACGGGUGAGUAACACGUGGGUAACCUACCUAUAAGACUGGGAUAACUUUGGGAAACCGGAGCUAAUACCGGAUAAUAUUUCGAACCGCAUGGUUCGAUAGUGAAAGAUGGCUUUGCUAUCACUUAUAGAUGGACCUGCGCCGUAUUAGCUAGUUGGUAAGGUAACGGCUUACCAAGGCAACGAUACGUAGCCGACCUGAGAGGGUGAUCGGCCACACUGGAACUGAGACACGGUCCAGACUCCUACGGGAGGCAGCAGUAGGGAAUCUUCCGCAAUGGGCGAAAGCCUGACGGAGCAACGCCGCGUGAGUGAUGAAGGUCUUCGGAUCGUAAAACUCUGUUAUUAGGGAAGAACAAACGUGUAAGUAACUGUGCACGUCUUGACGGUACCUAAUCAGAAAGCCACGGCUAACUACGUG